Molecule: ribosomal RNA, 469 nt
Filed under: uncultured bacterium
Lineage: Bacteria
Description: bacterial SSU rRNA
Rfam family: Bacterial small subunit ribosomal RNA
Source: RNAcentral
CUCCAGACUCCUACGGGAGGCAGCAGUGAGGAAUAUUGGUCAAUGGGCGUAAGCCUGAACCAGCCAAGUCGCGUGAGGGACGACGGCCCUACGGGUUGUAAACCUCUUUUGCCGGGGGACAAACGGCGGCACGCGUGCCGUCCUGAGGGUACCCGGAGAAAAAGCAUCGGCUAACUCCGUGCCAGCAGCCGCGGUCAUACGUAGGAUCCGAGCAUUAUCCGGAGUGACUGGGUGUAAAGAGUUGCGUAGGUGGCAUAAUAAGUAGCUAGUGAAAUCUGGUGGCUCAACCAUUCAGACUAUUAGCUAAACUGUUAAGCUCGAGACCGUUAGGGGUAACUGGAAUUUCUAGUGUAGGAGUGAAAUCCGUAGAUAUUAGAAAGAACACCGAUAGCGUAGGCAGGUUACUGGGACGGUUCUGACACUAAGGCACGAAAGCGUAGGGAGCAAACGGGAUUAGAUACCCUCGUAA